UCCCUGGUGGCUCAGUGGUAAAGAAUCUGCCUACAAUGCAGGAGACCCGGGUUCGAUCCCUGGGUUGGGAA
RNAcentral lists this transfer RNA (71 nucleotides) under Bos taurus (domestic cattle). It matches the Rfam family "tRNA". Rfam says of the family: Transfer RNA (tRNA) molecules are approximately 80 nucleotides in length. Lineage: Eukaryota; Metazoa; Chordata; Mammalia; Artiodactyla; Bovidae. RNAcentral also lists the same sequence under 5 other names. The record is from Rfam by way of RNAcentral.